CAGAAGUCUCCGCGGCCUCAGGAGGAAAACGGGCACUUCCAUCUCAAAAUUGCUCCGUCAGCACUCACGCUAAUGAUGUACUGAUUUCCUGGACUUAUCCGGAUGCUGGUGAUGUUGCCGCUGUGUCCCACCCCGACGACUCACCCGUGACGAAGUGCACUCCUUCCUGGGUGAUAUCCAUUCCAUUGACCGACCCAGACAAGGAACCUUCCAACUCUCUGAUGACCGACCCAUCAAAGACUUCCCAAGAGAAGGAGACUGUGCCAGUAAGCCCGGAUUGUGACAGAAAGCGCUUUAGGUGAGACCAAGCGCUCGGGAGUCCGAGGCAAGCUGUAAAUGAAGAAGGAAACAGCCACAGCAUCCACGUUCCCGGUUCAGCUCUCAGGGGAGGGCGUGGUGGAAGGGAAGCGUCUGCCUCCAGCUGCUGGGGGAGUGAGCCGCCCAGAGAGUUCUGUGGGCUCUGACUGCGAGCUCUUCCCCACCUCGCCCUAUUUCCAAGGUUCUGUUCUGCCACAAAGCAGUGAAACACCCCCCCCCCCCCAGCGUGGGGUCUAGAGGCAAAUUGAUAAUAUGGCCCCUCCUAGAUUAGGGAUGGGGAACAGAAGGGCAGGCGGGAGAGUGGGGGGUGCUAGAGGGAGGAGAUUUUUCUCUCAAUAUACUGCUUUUAUACUUCUUGAACUUUGAACUGUGUAAAUGAACAACCUAUUCAAAAAUUUUUCUUUUCUUUUUUUCCCCCCAGAUUUUAUUUACUUAUUUGACAGAGAGAGAGCACAAGCUGGGGGAUGGGGAG
Molecule: long non-coding RNA, 790 nt
Organism: Lutra lutra (Eurasian river otter)
Lineage: Eukaryota; Metazoa; Chordata; Mammalia; Carnivora; Mustelidae
Exons: 3
Source: RefSeq, a predicted model, not a curated record